This 1496-nucleotide unclassified non-coding RNA is filed under the name Claviceps digitariae. RNAcentral describes it as "sequence contains ITS1, 5.8S rRNA gene, ITS2, 28S rRNA gene". Lineage: Eukaryota; Fungi; Ascomycota; Sordariomycetes; Hypocreales; Clavicipitaceae. The record is from RNAcentral.
CCCUCUCGUUGUGUUUACCUCGGGGUUCUCCCCUCCCUUCUUGACGCGUUCCUGCGCUGAGCCCCUGAUUUUGGGGGCCCCGCCAUGUGAAUGCCACGUCUUGCGGGCUCAACAGUCCAUCAUCGAUGGCGACGAAAUUGAGAUUGAACCAUUUGUUUUGUUGAAAUGUAACUUGGCUAACUUCUAUUUCUUUUUAUUCUUCUCUUUCCCUCGAAUAGGUCCACCUUCAGACCGGUCAGUGCGUAAGUAACGAAAUCUAUCGACAUCGAACGGCAUAAAAACAACUAGAGACUGACGAUUUUUUUUUCUCUCUCGACAGGGUAACCAAAUCGGUGCUGCUUUCUGGCAGACCAUCUCUGGCGAGCACGGGCUCGACAGCAAUGGUGUGUACAAUGGCACUUCGGAGCUCCAGCUCGAGCGUAUGAGCGUCUACUUCAAUGAGGUGUGUAACGAUUACAGACACAAACAAAACUCCUGUGCACAUUUCCUAUAUCAUAUGGUUGCGGAGAACGAUGAGAUAAAACGGAGUGCAUGCGAGCAUUUCUACCAAAUACUAAACUGUGCAAUAGGCCUCUGGCAACAAGUAUGUUCCUCGCGCUGUCCUGGUCGAUCUCGAGCCCGGUACCAUGGAUGCCGUUCGUGCUGGUCCUUUCGGUCAGCUUUCCGCCCCGACAACUUCGUUUNNNNNNNNNNNNNNNNNNNNNNNNNNNNNNNNNNNNNNNNNNNNNNNNNNNNNNNNNNNNNNNNNNNNAAUGUCCUUGACGUUGUCCGUCGCGAGGCUGAGGGCUGUGACUGCCUCCAGGGUUUCCAGAUUACCCACUCGCUCGGUGGUGGUACCGGUGCUGGUAUGGGUACCUUGUUGAUCUCCAAGAUCCGCGAGGAGUUCCCCGACCGAAUGAUGGCCACCUUCUCCGUCGUUCCUUCCCCCAAGGUCUCGGACACCGUCGUCGAGCCCUACAAUGCCACUCUGUCCGUCCACCAGCUCGUUGAGAACUCGGACGAGACUUUCUGUAUCGACAACGAGGCUUUGUACGAUAUCUGCAUGCGCACGCUGAAGCUGUCCAACCCCUCUUACGGUGACCUGAACUACCUGGUCUCUGCCGUCAUGUCUGGCGUCACCACCUGCCUGCGUUUCCCUGGUCAGCUGAACUCUGACCUGCGUAAGCUGGCCGUCAACAUGGUUCCUUUCCCUCGUCUGCACUUCUUCAUGGUCGGCUUCGCUCCCCUGACCAGCCGUGGUGCCCACUCCUUCCGCGCUGUUAGCGUUCCUGAGCUCACUCAGCAAAUGUUUGACCCCAAGAACAUGAUGGCUGCUUCCGAUUUCCGAAACGGUCGCUACCUGACAUGCUCUGCCAUCUUGUGAGUGCAAUCAUGUUGAAAAUAACAUGUGAUUAUCAAAAUGCUAUAGUGCCACAAUAACUGACAUGACUGGAAUUCACAGCCGUGGCAAGGUCGCUAUGAAGGAGGUCGAGGACCAGAUGCUUAACGUACAGAAC